This 27-nucleotide non-coding RNA is filed under the name Rattus norvegicus (Norway rat). The record is from RNAcentral. Lineage: Eukaryota; Metazoa; Chordata; Mammalia; Rodentia; Muridae.
UUUUCUCCGAUGGCAAGACGUUACCUU